CGCCUGCCUUGCAAGCAGGAGGCCGCGGGUUCGAGUCCCGCAGGGCCCACCA
RNAcentral lists this transfer RNA (52 nucleotides) under Porphyromonadaceae bacterium. RNAcentral describes it as "tRNA-Ser". It matches the Rfam family "tRNA", at positions 24 to 71 of the family's 71-position model. From Rfam's summary of the family: Transfer RNA (tRNA) molecules are approximately 80 nucleotides in length. Their secondary structure includes four short double-helical elements and three loops (D, anti-codon, and T loops). The record is from RNAcentral. Lineage: Bacteria; Pseudomonadati; Bacteroidota; Bacteroidia; Bacteroidales; Porphyromonadaceae.